AUGUGUCCCACAGCCAGAACCAAGCUCUUGCUCCUCCUUGCAGUAGCAGCCUCCACCAUUCCCUUCACCUCCAAUGGCUUGGUGCAUGUGCCACGCCAGCCAGCCAGCCAUGCCAACGGCACCGGCACCGGCACGAUGUGUCUGCCACAUGAAAGGGAGGCCUUGCUAGCGUUCAAGCGAGGCAUCACCAAAGACCCGUUGGGCCAACUCGCCUCGUGGCAGCGACAUGGGCUGAAGGACUGCUGCCGCUGGAGGGGAGUCCAGUGCGAUGACCGCACCGGGCAUGUCCUCGAGCUUCAUCUUCGCAACUUGCACGAAAAUAACACGCUUCUCAUCGAUGAUCAACUAACAGCUUUGGUCGGUGAGAUAAGUCCUUCUUUGCUCGCCUUGCAGCAUUUGGAACACCUUGAUCUCAGCGUGCAAGCACUCCAGGGGCCCACUGGUUGUGUCCCGGAGUUCUUGGGCUCUUUCAAGAACCUAAGAUAUCUUAACCUCUCUUGCGUACCAUUUUUCAGUGAUUUGCCGCCUCAUCUUGGUAACCUCUCAAAGUUGCAAUUCCUUGACCUCUCCCAAGCUAACAUGGUUUAUGUCUCAUCGGGUGGACCACCAAUGCACUCCAAAGAUAUCUCAUGGUUAACCCGCAUGCCUUUGUUAAGGUACCUCAACAUGCAAAUGGUAAACCUUAGCAUGGUGGCCGAUUGGCCUCGUGUUGCCAACAUGAUUCCUUCUUUGAGAGUCCUUUGUCUAUCCCAAUGCUCACUUGAAAGCGCAAAACACUCGCUCUUGCACUCCAACCUCACCAAUCUUGUAGAGCUUGAUCUCUCUGGCAACGACUUUGACCAACCACUUGCAUCUUGCUGGUUUUGGAAUAUAACAAGCAUUAGAUACCUCAACCUUCGGUCUACCAAUAUGUAUGGCCAGUUUCCAAAUUCUCUAGGAGAUUUGAAAUCCCUUCAAGCCCUUGCCUUUUCAACUGAUAGGUUGGGCUCCAUGACAGCAAGCAUGAGAAAUUUGUGCAAUCUUGAAGUCCUAGAUCUCAGCAAUAGCCUGUUGGAUGAAAACAUUAGAGACACAUUCCAAAGGUUACCUCAGUGUUCGCCUAACAAGUUGAAAGAAUUACAUCUGGAGAACAAUAAUAUCACUGGAGUCCUACCAAACUUCAUAGAGGAAUUCAUCAACAUUGUCAUCCUCGACCUCUCCAACAACCAUAUAACUGGGCAUGUGCCUCCUGAGAUUGGAAGGUUCAGAAAUUUAACUAGCUUGGACCUAAGCAGUAACAGACUGGGAGGUGUGAUUACACAAGAACACUUUGCAAAUCUGAGCAGUUUAGAACACAUAGACUUAUCCUAUAAUUCCUUGAAGAUUGUGGCGGAGCCCGAAUGGCGGGCACCAUUUAGUCUCGUUACAGCUGGUUUUGCAUAUUGUCAAAUGAAUUUGUUUCCUGCUUGGCUAGAAGGGCAGGUGGGUCUCUCUUUUUUGGAUCUUACGAGUGCAAGUAUAAAGGACAAACUUCCAAAAUGGUUUUCUACUACAUUUGCAAAUGUUAUCAAAUUGUACCUUUCGGCCAAUGAAAUCUAUGGUAGAUUGCCAACAAACAUGGAUGUUAUGACAUCAUUGAGCUACCUAUAUUUGGAUUCAAACCAGCUAAGUGGUGGAAUACCCCAAUUGCCAAUGUCGCUGAGCAUAUUGGACAUCUCCAUGAACUCUUUAUCGGGACCUUUCCCGGAAAAUUUUGCAGCUUUAGAUAUAUGGUUUCUAAGACUAUCUUCCAAUAGUCUCACCGGUCAAAUUCCAGAGUCUUUGUGCCAAAUGCAUUACCUGCAGAUCUUAGUGCUAAGCAACAACCUUUUUGAAGGGGAAUUUCCUCGAUGUUUCGAGACAAGCAGCCUGAUGAUGUUACUUUUAAGUAACAAUAGGCUAUCUGGAAUGUUCCCAGCAUUUUUGCGGAAAAACACAAAUCUCGAAGUCCUUGACUUGUCACAAAAUGAGUUCUCUGGAAGAGUGCCUAUGUGGAUUGGAGAAUUAGUGAGCCUAGAGAUACUACAACUGAGCUAUAACACGUUCUCUCAUAGUAUUCCUUCAACCAUUACAAAUCUUAGUAGCCUUAUUCAACUGAAUCUAGCAGGCAACAGCAUAUCAGGUGUCAUACCGUGGAACUUAUCAAGUUUAACUGGUAUGCCAAGUGAGGGUAGUCCGAGUUCUUUAACCGACCCUAGAUAUGAUAUUUAUAUGCAUGUGUUCACAAAGAGUCAAGAACUUAAUUAUCAAGAUGAUGCAAUACUUAGAGUGGUGAUCAUGGACUUGUCAUCAAAUUUUUUAACUGGUGGGAUUCCAGAAGAUAUAUCAUCUCUUGAUGCAAUUGUAGGUUUGAAUUUGUCACAGAAUCACCUGAUUGGGAAAAUUUCAAACAAGAUUGGGGUCAUGAAGUCGUUACAAUCACUGGACCUCUCAAGGAACAAGCUUUCUGGAGAAAUACCACCAAGCUUGUUAAAUCUGACAUAUUUAAGCAGCUUGGACUUGUCUUACAACAAUCUUGCGGGGCAAAUACCAUCAGGAGGCCAACUUGACACCCUCUAUCUACAACAUCCAUCUAUGUACGAUGGCAACAAUGGUCUUUGCGGACCUCCACUCCCUAAGAAUUGCUCAGGAAACAAUGCAGCAAGGCAUGAUGUUCAAACGACACAUAGUACAUAUUCCGAUCCAAUGUCCUUCUACUUUGGGCUCGGAAUAGGAUUUGUCAUCGGUCUUUGGGUGGUGUUCUGUGCCAUGUUAUUCAAGAGAGCAUGGAGGAUUGCCUAUUUCCGGCUCUUCGACAAGAAGUCUGGCGGGGAGAAGAAUGAAGACAAAAGGAAAAUCAGAAUAGGCAACUGGGCCUUGUGA
This 2880-nucleotide ribosomal RNA is filed under the name Triticum aestivum (bread wheat). Its description in RNAcentral is "partial small subunit ribosomal RNA". The record is from RNAcentral. Lineage: Eukaryota; Viridiplantae; Streptophyta; Magnoliopsida; Poales; Poaceae.